UUUAUUCUUCGUUAUUUCCUUUAUCAUUAAUUAUGUUUACCUUCUGCUCUGUGUUUAUGUUCUGUAAAGCUGCUUUGAGACAAUGUCUAUUGUAAAAUACACUGUACAAAUAAACUUGUAUUGAAUUGAGUUUAAUUGAAUUGAUACGGCGGAGUUUACUUGAUGGUAACGUAUUUUUUCAGGACAUCCAAUUUCCUGUUCUACAUUUUGAGGUAAAUUCAACAGCAAACGAGAUUCAUUCACUACAAGCUACAACAUAAUAUAUGUUUUUAUUCAGGAUUAAAGUUAAAUUCCUGUUCUCCUGUACAGCCUGAAACAAGCGGGAAUGUCUGAGGUCAGCUCAGGAUAAAUAAGUUGAUGGAGUAAGCAGUGUUCCCUGGUGUGGCAGUUUCUCUGGUGUACAGACUUCCUUGGGGAGGAGACACCAGCAAUUCUGAUGACACAAACGGUGUGAGAGCUGUGAAGAAAACCCCAGAAACAACAGCAGGUGACAUCAACAACAGCCUCCACAGAUCAGAGUGAAGGUCUCACAAUCCAUCACUGGAUUAAGACACAGAGAAAUAUUGAGCAGAAGAUACAAACUUCUCCUGAGUAAGACCAGAUGGGAAUUGUACAGAGAUGAGAAGGUUAGGUAACCAAGAUGAACCAAAGUGCUGAAAGGUCAAAGUGUGGAGAAAGUAAGGAUCUGUUCAUGAUCCAGAACAUAUGAUCUCAUCAAUAGAACAUAGUUAUGGUGGUGUCAUGGCUUGGGCUUCAUGGCUGCUUCUGGAACUUUCUCACUAAUCUUCACUGAUGAUGGAGAUCAUGGUGGUAGCCACAGAAUGAAUGCAGAAGUUUACAGAAACAUUCUGAUCAUUUACAGAGAAAUGCAACUAAUCUAAUCAGGAGGAUCUUCAAUAUGCAGCAAGACAACGAUCUGAAUCACUCUGCAACUAAACCCAGGAUCAGUGGAAAGAAGGUGGUUUUGUACAGAACAAGUUAAUUAGCAGAACUGAACCUUAAACUGUGGAUCAUUUCACCUCCGUAAAAGGGGACGACUACAAUAACUUAAAAAGGGACGUGGACAAAAGCAUGGAAAAGCUUCACGGGAGAAGAAAGCUGCAGUUUGUUGAUGCAAUUAAAGGAUUUACAACCAAA
Molecule: long non-coding RNA, 1137 nt
Organism: Tachysurus fulvidraco (yellow catfish)
Lineage: Eukaryota; Metazoa; Chordata; Actinopteri; Siluriformes; Bagridae
Exons: 3
Source: RefSeq, a predicted model, not a curated record